GAUGAACGCUCGCGGCAGGCUUAACACAUGCAAGUCGAGGGGCAGCGCGGGAUAGCAAUAUCCUGGCGGCGACCGGCGGAAGGGUGCGUAACGCGUGAGCGACAUGCCCGUUGCCCGGGGACAACCGGUGGAAACGCCGACUAAUCCCCGAUGGGAUAUUGUGCCGCAUGGCACGAUAUUGAAAGUUACGGCGGCGACGGAUUGGCUCGCGUCCGAUUAGCUUGUUGGCGGGGUAACGGCCCACCAAGGCUGCGAUCGGUAGGGGUUCUGAGAGGAAGGCCCCCCACAAUGGGACUGAGACACGGCCCAUACUCCUACGGGAGGCAGCAGUGAGGAAUAUUGGUCAAUGGGCGGAAGCCUGAACCAGCCAUGCCGCGUGCGGGAAGGAGGCCCUAUGGGCUGUGAACCGCUUUUGCCUGGGGGCAAUAAGGGCGUCGCGCACGUCCGAUGAGAGUACCAGGCGAAUAAGCAUCGGCUAACUCCGUG
RNAcentral lists this ribosomal RNA (486 nucleotides) under uncultured bacterium. Its description in RNAcentral is "partial 16S ribosomal RNA". It matches the Rfam family "Bacterial small subunit ribosomal RNA", at positions 28 to 507 of the family's 1533-position model. The record is from RNAcentral.